This 574-nucleotide non-coding RNA is filed under the name Pongo abelii (Sumatran orangutan). The record is from RNAcentral. Lineage: Eukaryota; Metazoa; Chordata; Mammalia; Primates; Hominidae.
CGUAAUGAAGCCUUGGGGGAAAAAGUCUAACUGGCGGAACUCCUGGGAACUGGGGCGAUGAGCUCUUAGUAUCGGAGGAUUGGAACCAUCUGAUUUUUACCUGAAAUUCCGUAGUCUCUCCUGUGUUGGGGAAAUGGUCACCUUGCCUUCAGGGACCUGGGCUUUCAGCUGUCCCUACCUGGCCCUGGUUGAUGGCGGCAUGCUGGGCAGUGCACGUGAAGACGCACAUGCACUGCUGGGUUAGGAACUCCCAGACUGAGCUGGUCUCAGCAAGUGGCGUCCAUUCGUGGGGGCUCAAAUCCAGGUCGAAGGGUCACCGGAGCAACAGUUGGAAUGGAAAACUAGCUGGAGGACACAGGAGUACUCUUAAAGCAAUCCCUGUGGCCAAAAUCAACAGCUGAUUUGGAUACCAUCAAGACACCUGAAACCUUAUCAUGAGCCAGAUUCCAAGAGGAUCACGAGGACCCCCCAGUUGCAGCCAUGUCAAGACUGAUGCUGAGGAGGACCCCAACUGUCACGAGCAACACCCGUCAAACAGCCACCCACCUGGGGACAGAUCAAGAAGCUGUCACAG